This 253-nucleotide ribosomal RNA is filed under the name uncultured bacterium. RNAcentral describes it as "partial 16S ribosomal RNA". It matches the Rfam family "Bacterial small subunit ribosomal RNA", at positions 524 to 776 of the family's 1533-position model. The record is from RNAcentral.
UACGUAGGGUCCGAGCGUUGUCCGGAAUUACUGGGCGUAAAGAGCUCGUAGGUGGUUUGUCGCGUUGUUCGUGAAAACUCACAGCUCAACUGUGGGCGUGCGGGCGAUACGGGCAGACUUGAGUACUGCAGGGGAGACUGGAAUUCCUGGUGUAGCGGUGGAAUGCGCAGAUAUCGGGAGGAACACCGGUGGCGAAGGCGGUUCUCUGGGCCUUACCUGACGCUGAGGAGCGAAAGCGUGGGGAGCGAACAGG